This 497-nucleotide ribosomal RNA is filed under the name uncultured bacterium. Its description in RNAcentral is "partial 16S ribosomal RNA". It matches the Rfam family "Bacterial small subunit ribosomal RNA", at positions 28 to 507 of the family's 1533-position model. The record is from RNAcentral.
GAUGAACGCUGGCGGCGUGCCUAAUACAUGCCAGUCGAGCGAACAGACGAGGAGCUUGCUCCUCUGACGUUAGCGGCGGACGGGUGAGUAACACGUGGAUAACCUACCUAUAAGACUGGGAUAACUUCGGGAAACCGGAGCUAAUACCGGAUAAUAUAUUGAACCGCAUGGUUCAAUAGUGAAAUACGGUUUUGCUGUCACUUAUAGAUGGAUCCGCGCCGCAUUAGCUAGUUGGUAAGGUAACGGCUUACCAAGGCAACGAUGCGUAGCCGACCUGAAAGGGUGAACGGCCACACUGGAACUGAGACACGGCCCAGACUCCUACGGGAAGAAGCAGUAGGGAAUCUUACGCAAUGGACGAAAGCCUGACGGAGCAACGCCGCGUGAGUGAUGAAGGUCUUCGGAUCGUAAAACUCUGUUAUUAGGGAAGAACAAAUGUGUAAGUAACUAUGAACGUCUUGACGGUACCUAAUCAGAAAGCCACGGCUAACUACGUG